GAUGAAGAACGUAGCGAAAUGUGAUAACUAAUGUGAAUUGCAGAAUUCCGUGAAUCAUCGAGUCUUUGAACGCACAUUGCGCCCCCUGGUAUUCCGGGGGGCAUGCCUGUCCGAGCGUCAUUGCUGCCCAUCAAGCACGGCUUGUGUGUUGGGUCCUCGUCCCCCCCGGGGGACGUGCCCGAAAGGCAGCGGCGGCACCGCGUCCGGUCCUCGAGCGUAUGGGGCUUUGUCACCCGCUCUGCAGGCCCGGCCGGCGCUGGCCGACGCGAAAGCAACCAUUUUUUCUCCAGGUUGACCUCGGAUCAGGUAGGGAUACCCGCUGAACUUAAGCAUAUCAAUAAGCGGAGGA
RNAcentral lists this unclassified non-coding RNA (349 nucleotides) under soil metagenome. Its description in RNAcentral is "partial contains 5.8S ribosomal RNA, internal transcribed spacer 2, and large subunit ribosomal RNA". The stretch from base 1 to 120 matches the Rfam family "5.8S ribosomal RNA", at positions 35 to 154 of the family's 154-position model. The record is from RNAcentral.